Molecule: ribosomal RNA, 249 nt
Filed under: uncultured bacterium
Lineage: Bacteria
Description: partial 16S ribosomal RNA
Rfam family: Bacterial small subunit ribosomal RNA
Source: RNAcentral
CCUACGGGGCGCAGCAGUGGGGAAUCUUCCGCAAUGGGCGAAAGCCUGACGGAGCAAUGCCGCGUGAGUGAAGGAUGCCUUCGGGUUGUAAAACUCUGUCCUUAUCGAAGCGAGGUGGGUAUGUGAAUACUGUACUCAUAAGACGGUAGAUAAGGCGGCAGCCCCGGCUAGCUACGUGCCAGCAGCCGCGGUAAUACGUAGGGGGCGAGCGUUGUCCGGAAUCACUGGGCGUAAAGGGCGCGUAGGCGG